UAAGCGGAGGAAANGAAACUACANGGAUUCCCCUAGUAACUGCGAGUGAAGCGGGAAAAGCUCAAAUUUAAAUCUGGUGGUCUUUGGCCAUCCGAGUUGUAAUUUAGAGAAGCGUCUUCCGCGCUGGACCGUGCACAAGUCUCCUGGAAUAGAGCGUCAUAGAGGGUGAGAAUCCCGUCUUUGGCAUGGACACACCAGGGCUUUUGUGAUGCGCUCUCGAAGAGUCGAGUUGUUUGGGAAUGCAGCUCAAAAUGGGUGGUGAACUCCAUCUAAAGCUAAAUAUUGGCGAGAGACCGAUAGCGAACAAGUACCGUGAGGGAAAGAUGAAAAGCACUUUGGAAAGAGAGUGAAACAGUACGUGAAAUUGUUGAAAGGGAAACGCUUGAAGUCAGUCACGUCGACCGAGACUCAGCCUUGCCUCGGCUUGGUGUACUUCUCGGCUGACGGGUCAGCAUCAAUUUUGCCCCUUGGAUAAUGGCGAGGGAAAUGUGACACCUUUAUGGUGUGUUAUAGUCUCUCGUCGCAUGCAAGGGUUGGGAUUGAGGAACUCAGCACGCGCCCUUUGGGUGUCGGGGCUUUGCCCACGAUACGUGCUUAGGAUGUUGGCAUAAUGGCUUUAAACGACC
Molecule: ribosomal RNA, 626 nt
Filed under: uncultured Russulaceae
Lineage: Eukaryota; Fungi; Basidiomycota; Agaricomycetes; Russulales; Russulaceae
Description: LSU rRNA
Rfam family: Eukaryotic large subunit ribosomal RNA
Source: RNAcentral